RNAcentral lists this long non-coding RNA (591 nucleotides) under Phoenix dactylifera (date palm). RNAcentral's name for it is "long non-coding RNA (PDAC_LNC001003)". Lineage: Eukaryota; Viridiplantae; Streptophyta; Magnoliopsida; Arecales; Arecaceae. The record is from RNAcentral.
UGAUGAAGGACAAAAAAAACUUUCUAAGGGAAAAAGAGGAAUCCUAAUACUUUACAUCUUUCUCAUAUUUAAAUAUAGUGCGAAGGGCAAAAAAAAAACUAGCAAUUUUUUUGAAUAAUUUUCUUAAUGAGAUCGACCCCUUCUUGAAGGAUGAGUUGAUCACCACAUGAACCAUUGUGACUAUCACUUAAAAAAAAAGCAAAAGACACAUCCCAAUACAUAAGUAACAUGAGUCCAUAUAGUAAUGCCUCCUAAAAUAUAUAUUGAGCUGUAUCUUAAAAUGACCUACAUUUUCCAAUGACAGCUUUUUCUUGAGAUCAAGCAGUGUGCUACUAUACAUCUCUGUCUACUCUUAUUGUAGAAUGGUCAUGGGUCGCUACGAUCUCUCCAGCACAUGAGCAUCACAAUGCAUCGGCGAAGUAUGUAGAAUCUGGACCUCUGCUCCCUCGCCAACAGCCGGCACCUCCGGCUAAACGAGUAGCACGAUGAGCUCUUCUCUGUCUUGGCCAUUGCACCUCUCGCUUUCCCCUCUCUUCCCUCCCUAAGUUUGCCACGUAAACUAAGGAGGAGGAAGAGUGGGAGUAGAUAAAA